UACGAAAGGAGCAAGUGUUAUUCAGAUUCACUGGGCGUAAAGGGCACGUAGGUGGUUUGUUUAUGUGUAUUAUUAAAUUAUAAAGCAUAACUUUAUAAUGUAGUAUAAACAGCAAAACUAGAGUUAGGUAAAGAGUAGUAGAAUUUCUAAUGUAAAGGUGAAAUUUGAUAAAAUUAGAGAGAAUACCAAUGGCGUAAGUAACUACUUGGACCUUAGCUGACACUGAGGUGCGAAGGUAUGGGGAGCAAAUAGG
This 253-nucleotide ribosomal RNA is filed under the name uncultured bacterium. Its description in RNAcentral is "partial 16S ribosomal RNA". It matches the Rfam family "Bacterial small subunit ribosomal RNA", at positions 524 to 776 of the family's 1533-position model. The record is from RNAcentral.